AGAGAGAGACAUGCGCGCAUAUCAAUAAGCGGAGGAAAAGAAACUAACAAGGAUUCCCCUAGUAACGGCGAGUGAAGCGGGAAGGGCUCAAAUUUGAAAUCUUCAAGGUUUUACCUUGACGAAUUGUAGUUUAAAGAAGUGUUUUCGGUUAGAGGAGUAGUAAAAGUUCUUUGGAAUAGGACAUCAUAGAGGGUGAGAAUCCCGUAUUUGACUAUUCUUUCUAGCUUUGUGAUACACUUUCAAAGAGUCGGAUUGUUUGGGAAUGCAGUCCAAAAUGGGUGGUAAAUUUCAUCUAAAGCUAAAUACUGGCGAGAGACCGAUAGCGAACAAGUACCGUGAGGGAAAGAUGAAAAGAACUUUGAAAAGAGAGUUAAACAGUACGUGAAAUUGUCAAAAGGGAAGUGUUUGACACCAGUGUUGUUUUCUCGAAAAUCAAUUAAAAAUGGCGGGAUUUUGUGUUGUAUUGACUUUAUCUGCUUUCUGCACUUUUUUCCUGUCUUUUUUAAUGCACUUUUCGUUUAACAAGUCAACAUCAAUUUCUUUUGUUGUAAAAGGGUCAUUGGAAGGUGGCUUUCUUUUCGGAGAAAGUGUUUAUAGCCUUUGCCUCUGCAAUCGGAGAGAUUGAGGUCUGCAGCGUAGAUCCUUCGGGGUUAGAUACAUUUGUGCUAAGCUUAUAGCCUUUCAUAGACAACUUGUUGACUAUGAUCAGUCAUGUAGCUUACUCGCUUAUGCUAUUUUACCUACGCUUAGGAUGUUGACAGCAGUAUAGACUGU
This 774-nucleotide ribosomal RNA is filed under the name uncultured Neocallimastigales. RNAcentral describes it as "partial large subunit ribosomal RNA". It matches the Rfam family "Eukaryotic large subunit ribosomal RNA", at positions 23 to 635 of the family's 3401-position model. The record is from RNAcentral. Lineage: Eukaryota; Fungi; Neocallimastigomycota; Neocallimastigomycetes; Neocallimastigales.